This is a long non-coding RNA of Ornithodoros turicata, 598 nucleotides long. RefSeq lists it as uncharacterized. The record is from RefSeq and is a predicted model, not a curated record. NCBI's taxonomy places the organism in Eukaryota, Metazoa, Arthropoda, Arachnida, Ixodida, Argasidae. The transcript has 3 exons.
UGCGGAUGUGCUUGACGUGAUAUCGGAGCCGGAUCACAUUCUGUCGGUGGUAACGUUCCACCCCUCCCUUUUCGCAAUAAAAGUUUGCCUUUUUCUUUGAAAUUCAGCUUUACAUUGAUGCAAAUAUCCGACCCCAUUGCUUUUUCUUUGCAAAGAAAUCGAGAAUGGAUGAAUGAAAUGGGUCACCCAAGUAAGCAACACAAGAGGAUUGUUACAAAAAGCUCAAGACUUUUAAGGUGGUUCUGCCAGCAGUGGUACAAUGACGGAAGCAGACGACAGUUCCCGAUGUGCCUUACGCUCCCUAGGUGGCGCACAUCAAAUUUGCACCAAAAAUCCACUAGUUCUGGAUUAAAGAUGGACUCGUCUACCUGCACAAUGACUUCGUACGGACGCAGAAGGUCAAGGGGCUUCCUCGGUCCUCCCUCCUGCAGCUGUUGCACCAGAAGAAGAUUACGCUCUACUGUGGUCUUUUGUCGCGUCCACUGCAGGUACGAGUGCAGGAGCUGCAGCUCGCUGACUGGACCGCCAACAUUGCGGCCCGCUUCGGUCGUACGUAGCUCUUCACGUACCACCUACACACAUAAACAGGGUUAACUAC